ACCUAGUAAACCAGUAUUCGUCGAUAGAGACUUAAAAGCAAUUUUGUUAGAUGUCGUUUAAAUUGUACACACUGGCGAAAAAAAUAAUUUGACUGAAUUGAAUAAAACAAUUUGACUGAACGUUUAAACAAACUAUAUAUCGCGCAUGAAUAUAGACGGACGUUUGAACGCACCUUAGGUUUGACGUCAUUUACGCGGGAAAUCUUCGCGCGAAGAUUCAUUCAGUCUGUGCACAGCAAACAUGCUGCAUCUUCUUUCAAUAAAUAAUACGGACGAAACAAGAGUGGAUCGACAUUUUGGUUUUACUUGAAGUUCCCAGGUCCACUUGGAUUCAGCGCACAAUAGAAGCAGUCCUCAGGUUGUUCACAUGCUUUCGCUGUGGAGAGUCAGUGGAAGAAGACAUUAAUCUGUCUGUGGAGGAAACAACACCAGCCUUGGAAACAUUCAUAAACCAGAGUUCUACAAGACCCUGGUAUUGUUGAUAUGGCUGAUGCAUUACCAAAUUAUCCAAAGCAUGCCUUUACAAAUCUUUGGAUAAGCAGUUUCCAUUACUGAAUGGUGGCAGUUGUUACCAGUUAAUGCUGAACCAUUACUAAUUGUUUAAUUUUUUUGAUUUAUUUGGUUUAGUCCCCUGAUAGAUCCUUCAGUAGUUUAAGACUAUAAUGUUUUUCAUUUAUCGACAGCACUAUUUUUUUUUCUGGCACAAUGCCAUUGCUCUUUUUGCACUUUUUUCUAUUUGAUCUUUUUUCUUUUUUUCCCUUUCACUUCUGCACUUGAACUAAGUUGUUUUUUGUAUUGUCUUUUUAAUUUAACUGAAGUGAUAUUUUCCUAUAAUCAUUAUUGUAAUUUAAUUAUUGUCCUGUUCUGAUGGUAUUAGGUUUCCAAAAUGAUGGUACUUUACACUAUGCACUUACACGAUUUACUCUAUUCUAGUAUGUGCACAUAUUAAUUCAAUUAUCUCAAAUAAUACAUUAACAUUAUUUAGUAUAUUGAUUAUAUUAAUAUACUGUAAGUAAGGUACCCUACCCACUUUCAAAAACAAGAUUCUCUUAAUAUAAAGUUUUUAAUAUAUUUAAUAUAAAUAUUAUGUAUUUGAAAUGAGUCCAAUCAUGGGCAUUUUUGCAAUAUUAUGAUUAAUUCCUCUUUAUUUCUGUCUGCUUAAUUUUAUUAUCUCUGUUUUCACCACCUUAAAUGAAGCUUUUCUCUGUGUCUUUAUUUAUGUCAUUUAGGUUGUGAAUGUUUUUGUAGGCCAAACUAAAAAAAAUCAUGUAAAUAUACUGUAUAUAAUAUUAUAAAUAUAAAUUUUAUAUAUAUAAUUUUUUUAAUUCAGU
This is a long non-coding RNA of Tachysurus fulvidraco (yellow catfish), 1331 nucleotides long. RefSeq lists it as uncharacterized. The record is from RefSeq and is a predicted model, not a curated record. Lineage: Eukaryota; Metazoa; Chordata; Actinopteri; Siluriformes; Bagridae. The transcript has 4 exons.